Pongo abelii (Sumatran orangutan) is the source of this 148-nucleotide unclassified non-coding RNA. It matches the Rfam family "Metazoan signal recognition particle RNA". Rfam says of the family: The signal recognition particle (SRP) is a universally conserved ribonucleoprotein. It is involved in the co-translational targeting of proteins to membranes. The eukaryotic SRP consists of a 300-nucleotide 7S RNA and six proteins: SRPs 72, 68, 54, 19, 14, and 9. Lineage: Eukaryota; Metazoa; Chordata; Mammalia; Primates; Hominidae. The record is from Ensembl.
GCCAGGCGUGUUGGCACAUGCCUGUAAUCCCAGCUACUCAGGAGGCUGAGGCAGGAGAAUUGCUUGAACCCAGGAGCUGGAGGUUGCAGUGAGCCAAGAUUGCGCCACUGCACUCCAGCCUGGGUGACAAAGCAAGACUCCUUCUCAA